GCAUUGGGACUGGCAAGUUGUUUCUCUAGAUUGAGGGGAAUAGCAUUUCAGCUGGAAACUAAGGUCAGUGGCAGACGCAAUGGGCUUUGUAUUCCUGCUAAGUGGUUUAAGCUUUAUCUUGAAGUCAGUCCAGAAAUAGCAAAGAUUGUUAAGCAGAAAUAACAUGAUCCGAUCGGAUAUUAGAAAGAUACUUCUAAUUAUUGCGCGGAGAAUUGAUUGAGGAUGAAGAGCCCAGUCAGGAAGCUCUUGAAAGUCCAAGCUGAUGAAGGCCUGACGCAAAGCAAAGGCAGUAAGAACUGAGGGGUGGAAACAAUCGCUAUGUGGAGGCAGGUUGGGCAGGCCGUGGUGGCCGGUAAAGGAAUGGUGAGCCUGGAGUUGUGCAGUGAACAACCUGUGCAGGAGGUUAAGGAUCUAGGAGCAUGAAGAAUGACUCUGGUGGCUAUUUUUGCUGAGCCAGCAGAAAGAUCACAACAGAAAAAUGGAGAAAAAGGGUGGCCAACAUGGCUAAUGAUAAUUCCCAGGUUUACGCCUUGGACUUUCUGCCACAGAAGGAGUCCCAUUGUUCUCCCUCCAAGUUCCAAACAUUGAGAAGAGUUGUAAGUGGCCCAGUUGACCUCUGGACCAACUGAUGACAGGAUCUUGUAAGAUGAUAUUACAAGGGUUCAGAUCUUAUAAGAACUUGACUGCAGUUGACCACAGGUAACUGAAACCACGGAUGAGAGAGGAUGAGUGUAGUAGAUUUGAUCACUCCCAAAAUGCUGAAGUAGAGAGCGGUUGGAAGACAACUAGUCAGCCCUUACGAUGCUACAAGCAUUGCACUAGGAAUUUUGUAGACAUCACCUCAAAGGAGAAGCAAUAAAAACUAUGAUUAACCUGCAACAGCGACAUUUUGCCCAUAAACUCUGUUAGGUUUCAGAGAAUGUCCUUGAGGAUUCCAAGCUAGCAUGCCUUUUUCCAACUGCUGCUUCUCCAAGGGUGGGUUGCACCCUUAACUUCCUGAUCUGAUGUCUGUGAAACAAAGGCGCCGGCAUAGAACAGUGGGAAAGAGACAUGUUCUGAAGCCAGGGGGACCUCAGUUUACCUUCUAUCCCGGCCACUUACUAGUUGAAUGAUCUUAGACAAAUCAGCAACCCAUUUUACCAUCAGUUUUCUUCUCUGUAAAACGUGGCUAAAAUAUAUACAAUAUAGGAUUUGGGGAGAAUUGAAAGAGUGUAUGUCUACAAAAUGUACAUCACGGUGUCUGGCUCAUAAUCAUUCAAUAAAUGUUAGUUUCUUGGUUAUGGAAGUAACAAAUGAAAUAAGGCAAAAUUCUUAUAUUAAGUUCAAUGCUUUGCUCUUUUCCACACUAAAAUCUAAUACCAUUCAGAAUGGAAAAAUUCUCAAAUAAAAUGGAGCACAAGUUUACAUAGAAAAAU
Molecule: long non-coding RNA, 1415 nt
Filed under: Equus caballus (horse)
Lineage: Eukaryota; Metazoa; Chordata; Mammalia; Perissodactyla; Equidae
Description: lncRNA (ENSECAG00000049039.1)
Source: RNAcentral